GCCCGGCGCCACCGGUCAGUCGUUGGAACGCAUCCAACCGCUUAACAGGUUUGGUGCUCGGAGCGCAGAAACCGGGCAGAACGUUUUCGAGAGUGUGAUUCUUCUUUUUUUUUACAACUGUUGACCGAAGCGUCCCUCACAGCGUGCACAAUGGGCGCACUGAUUUGGCGAAUACUCGUGCUGUGUUUCAUCGCUUCCUGCUCACAGCUUCCUGUCGCGGUGGCACAAUAUCUUUCCAGCUGCAAGACACCGGGCGGUGAUGGAGAGCCGGGUACCUGUGUGCUGGUGCGCGAAUGUCCGUUCGCUCGCGCUCUGCUCAUGAAGCAGAAGCACUCGAACAACGAUAUUCGCUAUCUGGAAGCGGUACGGUGCGGUAUGCUGGAAACCAAGGCGCUGGUCUGCUGCAAUGCACCGAACAUUACCACGGACAGCAGCAGCAGCGGCAGCAUCGAAGGGCUGGUAGACGGAGAAACGAUUGACGGGUUGGUAGAGAAUCGGUUCAGCACGCCGGAGGAAAAACGUGGCCUGCUGCCGGAGGUGUGCGGUGUCGAUACGUACCGCGGGCCGAUCCGUGGCGAGCUGGCUCAGCUGUUUCAUUUCCCCUGGAAUGUGCUGAUACAGCAUCGGACGAAAGAUGGUGAGCACCGUUUCCACUGCGGCGGAUCAUUGAUCAGUGAUCGAUACGUGCUGACGGCCGCCCGCUGCAUUAUGGGCAUCAAGAAAACAUGGACAAUCGUGUCCGUAAGGGUAGGCGAAUGGAAUCUGCAAACCGAUCCAGACUGUGACAACUCCACUGCCGACGCUACCGAAUGUGCCAGCCCGGUGGAGGACAUUCCCAUCGAAAAGAUUACCGUACCCGCCAACUACACCGGUACCGGGUCGCCGGCGGUAAAGCAAGACAUCGCCCUGCUCCGGUUAGCCCGCAGGGUUGAGUUCAGUGAGUCGGUUGCACCGAUCUGUCUGCCCCUGAAUACGUCCAACUGGGUGGGCUAUAGUAGCGAGCAGGACGGGCGCUUCUACGAGAGUGGCUGGGGUAAAACGCCCGACGCUGCUGCUGGUGGUGAUAACAAAUGGAACUUUGUAUCGGUCGGUGUCGCACGGGAGGUUUGCCGCGAUCGGUACCCACACGCCAGCAUUGAUGGGGAGCAGAUUUGUGCGAUGCCUAGCAGUGAGCAGAACACGUGCCGAGGGGAUACCGGGGGGCCACUGAUGUACCAGUCCGGCACAGAUGGCGCCUGGUACCUGAUGGGUGUCGGCAGCUUCCGCAAGCAGUGUGCCAUCGUCGGCGAACCGGCAGUCUAUACGAAUGUGGCCACCUUUACCAACUGGAUCGUUGAGAAUCUGGAACCAUAGGGUGGCAAAAGGCUGGCAUGCUAGCGAACCAGUGAAUCACCUGAACGCUUUAUACACAAACAUGGUGGCUCUCUCUCUCUCUCCUUAUCAACGCUCCUCGCCUAAGCAAGGCCAACUUUAAAAGCCAACCACCAUUUUACGACCAUUUAAUGUAUCGUCAAAUGCCAGACUCGUUAAGCUAGCGCUCGGUCGCUGUCUAACAAA
RNA transcript from Anopheles merus, 1557 nucleotides. It is a transcript of the gene named CLIP domain-containing serine protease 14D-like, with no coding region annotated. Lineage: Eukaryota; Metazoa; Arthropoda; Insecta; Diptera; Culicidae. The transcript is spliced from 6 exons. The record is from RefSeq and is a predicted model, not a curated record.